This 301-nucleotide ribosomal RNA is filed under the name uncultured bacterium. Its description in RNAcentral is "partial 16S ribosomal RNA". It matches the Rfam family "Bacterial small subunit ribosomal RNA", at positions 509 to 807 of the family's 1533-position model. The record is from RNAcentral.
CAGUCGCCACGGUAAUACGUAGGGUGCAAGCGUUAAUCGGAAUUACUGGGCGUAAAGCGUGCGCAGGCGGCUAUGCAAGACAGAUGUGAAAUCCCCGGGCUCAACCUGGGAACUGCAUUUGUGACUGCAUGGCUAGAGUACGGUAGAGGGGGAUGGAAUUCCGCGUGUAGCAGUGAAAUGCGUAGAUAUGCGGAGGAACACCGAUGGCGAAGGCAAUCCCCUGGACCUGUACUGACGCUCAUGCACGAAAGCGUGGGGAGCAAACAGGAUUAGAUACCCCCGUAGUCCCUGUCUCUUAUAC